AGUGAACGCUGGCGGUAGGCCUAACACAUGCAAGUCGAACGGCAGCACAGUAAGAGCUUGCUCUUACGGGUGGCGAGUGGCGGACGGGUGAGGAAUACAUCGGAAUCUACUUUUUCGUGGGGGAUAACGUAGGGAAACUUACGCUAAUACCGCAUACGACCUACGGGUGAAAGCAGGGGAUCUUCGGACCUUGCGCGAUUGAAUGAGCCGAUGUCAGAUUAGCUAGUUGGCGGGGUAAAGGCCCACCAAGGCGACGAUCCGUAGCUGGUCUGAGAGGAUGAUCAGCCACACUGGAACUGAGACACGGUCCAGACUCCUACGGGAGGCAGCAGUGGGGAAUAUUGGACAAUGGGCGCAAGCCUGAUCCAGCCAUACCGCGUGGGUGAAGAAGGCCUUCGGGUUGUAAAGCCCUUUUGUUGGGAAAGAAAAGCAGCAGGUUAAUACCCCGCUGUUCUGACGGUACCCAAAGAAUAAGCACCGGCUGACUUCGUG
This 492-nucleotide ribosomal RNA is filed under the name uncultured bacterium. RNAcentral describes it as "partial 16S ribosomal RNA". It matches the Rfam family "Bacterial small subunit ribosomal RNA", at positions 29 to 507 of the family's 1533-position model. The record is from RNAcentral.